UCCGGUAUAGUGUAGGGGUUAACAUAUCUCGCUUUCAUCGUGGAUCGACAAGCACCGGGAAGCCCGGGUUCGAUUUCCGGUACCGGAA
Molecule: non-coding RNA, 88 nt
Organism: Lasiosphaeris hirsuta
Lineage: Eukaryota; Fungi; Ascomycota; Sordariomycetes; Sordariales; Lasiosphaeriaceae
Source: the annotation of a GenBank genome assembly